This 254-nucleotide ribosomal RNA is filed under the name uncultured bacterium. Its description in RNAcentral is "partial 16S ribosomal RNA". It matches the Rfam family "Bacterial small subunit ribosomal RNA", at positions 524 to 776 of the family's 1533-position model. The record is from RNAcentral.
UACGUAGGGUGCGAGCGUUGUCCGGAUUUAUUGGGCGUAAAGGGUUCGUAGGCGGCGUGUCGCGUCGGGAGUGAAAGCCCGCUGCUUAACGGCGGGUUGGCUUCCGGUACGGGCAUCGCUGGAGUGCGGUAGGGGAGACUGGAAUUCCUGGUGUAGCGGUGAAAUGCGCAGAUAUCAGGAGGAACACCGAUGGCGAAGGCAGGUCUCUGGGCAUUAACUGACGCUGAGGAGCGAAAGCAUGGGGAGCGAACAGG